RNAcentral lists this non-coding RNA (30 nucleotides) under Homo sapiens (human). The record is from RNAcentral. Lineage: Eukaryota; Metazoa; Chordata; Mammalia; Primates; Hominidae.
UGGUGUUUGUGGUUCAAGUGUCUUGCCGCC